GGUUUAAUAGUUUAAAAAAAAACUUUAACCUUGUAAGUUAAUAAUGAAAUAUUUUUCUUAAACCU
This 65-nucleotide transfer RNA is filed under the name Domecia hispida. RNAcentral describes it as "tRNA-Thr". Lineage: Eukaryota; Metazoa; Arthropoda; Malacostraca; Decapoda; Domeciidae. The record is from RNAcentral.